This 746-nucleotide ribosomal RNA is filed under the name Klebsiella pneumoniae. Its description in RNAcentral is "partial 23S ribosomal RNA". It matches the Rfam family "Bacterial large subunit ribosomal RNA", at positions 1 to 782 of the family's 2925-position model. The record is from RNAcentral. Lineage: Bacteria; Pseudomonadati; Pseudomonadota; Gammaproteobacteria; Enterobacterales; Enterobacteriaceae.
GGGUUGUGAGGUUAAGCGACUAAGCGUACACGGUGGAUGCCCUGGCAGUCAGAGGCGAUGAAGGACGUGCUAAUCUGCGAAAAGCGUCGGUAAGGUGAUAUGAACCGUUAUAACCGGCGAUGUCCGAAUGGGGAAACCCAGUGCAAUUCGUUGCACUAUCGUUAACUGAAUACAUAGGUUAACGAGGCGAACCGGGGGAACUGAAACAUCUAAGUACCCCGAGGAAAAGAAAUCAACCGAGAUUCCCCCAGUAGCGGCGAGCGAACGGGGAGCAGCCCAGAGUCUGAAUCAGCUUGUGUGUUAGUGGAACGGUCUGGAAAGUCCGACGGUACAGGGUGAUAGUCCCGUACACCAAAAUGCACAGGUUGUGAACUCGAAGAGUAGGGCGGGACACGUGGUAUCCUGUCUGAAUAUGGGGGGACCAUCCUCCAAGGCUAAAUACUCCUGACUGACCGAUAGUGAACCAGUACCGUGAGGGAAAGGCGAAAAGAACCCCGGCGAGGGGAGUGAAAAAGAACCUGAAACCGUGUACGUACAAGCAGUGGGAGCACCUUCGGGUGUGACUGCGUACCUUUUGUAUAAUGGGUCAGCGACUUAUAUUCUGUAGCAAGGUUAACCGUAUAGGGGAGCCGCAGGGAAACCGAGUCUUAACUGGGCGUUAAGUUGCAGGGUAUAGACCCGAAACCCGGUGAUCUAGCCAUGGGCAGGUUGAAGGUUGGGUAACACUAACUGGAGGACCGAACCGA